AGAUAGUGUGUAUCGGAAGGUGUCCCUAGGAGUAAUAUA
This 39-nucleotide ribosomal RNA is filed under the name Caridina sp. FB-10. RNAcentral's name for it is "partial 12S ribosomal RNA". The record is from RNAcentral. Lineage: Eukaryota; Metazoa; Arthropoda; Malacostraca; Decapoda; Atyidae.